Molecule: unclassified non-coding RNA, 344 nt
Filed under: Hevea brasiliensis (rubber tree)
Lineage: Eukaryota; Viridiplantae; Streptophyta; Magnoliopsida; Malpighiales; Euphorbiaceae
Source: RNAcentral
AAUUGGCCGAAAAAAUAAAGAAAUUUGGGGAGCAGGUUGAAGGUUGAACAACAGCGCAGCUGGGAUCUGGUAACGAGGUGGACUUUCCAUCAAACCAACCCAAAGAUUAUGAACGGCGCCCACUAUAUUACCAUUAUAAGAAACAACAUAAGAGACUUCUUCAAGCAAAUUUGCUUAGCCUUCUCUGUCAAUCUCUCUUCAUUAAAGAAACUCAUUCCUUGCAUUUCUAACAAAACCACGUAACAACCUCUUUUCGUGACAUUUCAACUGUCUUUCGCAGCUAAAAAUCCUCAUUCUAUGCUCAUAUUACCUGUUUCUUUGUCAGAUUUCUCUUCAUUGUUUUU